RNAcentral lists this ribosomal RNA (253 nucleotides) under uncultured bacterium. RNAcentral's name for it is "partial 16S ribosomal RNA". It matches the Rfam family "Bacterial small subunit ribosomal RNA", at positions 524 to 776 of the family's 1533-position model. The record is from RNAcentral.
UACCGAGGUCCCGAGCGUUGUUCGGAUUCACUGGGCGUAAAGGGUGCGUAGGUGGCGUGGCAAGUUUGAUGUGAAAGCUCAGGGCUUAACCCUGAAAUGGCAUUGAAUACUGCUGUGCUGGAGGUUUGGAGGGGGGACUGGAAUUCUUGGUGUAGCAGUGAAAUGCGUAGAUAUCAAGAGGAACACCAGUGGCGAAGGCGAGUCCCUGGGCAGCACCUGACACUGAGGCACGAAAGCUAGGGGAGCAAACAGG